Molecule: ribosomal RNA, 424 nt
Filed under: Hyalinobatrachium cappellei group sp. ABGD cluster 5
Lineage: Eukaryota; Metazoa; Chordata; Amphibia; Anura; Centrolenidae
Description: partial large subunit ribosomal RNA
Rfam family: Bacterial large subunit ribosomal RNA
Source: RNAcentral
CUUGAAUAAGCAUAAGAGGUCCAGCCUGCCCAGUGACCAUGUUCAACGGCCGCGGUAUCCUAACCGUGCGAAGGUAGCGUAAUCACUUGUUCUUUAAAUAAGGACUAGUAUGAACGGCAUCACGAAGGUUACACUGUCUCCUCUUUCUAAUCAGUGAAACUAAUCUCCUCGUGAAGAAACGAGGAUAAACAUAUAAGACGAGAAGACCCUAUGGAGCUUCAAACUAUAAAGCACCUGCCCCAGUAUUACUUAAUUCCAGAAAACCACACCUACCCAGGCAAGAUGACCUUUAGUUUUAGGUUGGGGUGACCGCGGAGCAAAAAAAAACCUCCACAUUGAAAAGAGCCAACUCCUUAGCCAAGAGCCACACCUCUAAGCACCAACAAAAAGACAUCAAUUGACCCAAUAUUUUUGAUCAACGAAC